Molecule: ribosomal RNA, 780 nt
Filed under: uncultured bacterium
Lineage: Bacteria
Description: bacterial SSU rRNA
Rfam family: Bacterial small subunit ribosomal RNA
Source: RNAcentral
GACUGACUGGCUCGAUACUGACACUGAGGUGCGAAAGCGUGGGGAGCAAACGGGAUUAGAUACCCCGGUAGCCCACGCCGUAAACGAUGUCUACUAGCCGUUGGAGGACUUGAUCCUUUAGUGGCGCAGCUAACGCGAUAAGUAGACCGCCUGGGGAGUACGGUCGCAAGAUUAAAACUCAAAUGAAUUGACGGGGGCCCGCACAAGCGGUGGAGCAUGUGGUUUAAUUCGAAGCAACGCGAAGAACCUUACCUACUCUUGACAUCCAGUGAACUUUUGAGAGAUCAAUUGGUGCCUUCGGGAACACUGAGACAGGUGCUGCAUGGCUGUCGUCAGCUCGUGUUGUGAAAUGUUGGGUUAAGUCCCGUAACGAGCGCAACCCUUGUCCUUAGUUACCAUCAUUAAGUUGGGGACUCUAAGGAGACUGCCGGUGACAAACCGGAGGAAGGCGGGGACGACGUCAAGUCAUCAUGGCCCUUACGAGUAGGGCUACACACGUGCUACAAUGGCAUGUACAAAGGGUUGCCAAGCCGCGAGGUGGAGCUAAUCCCAUAAAGCAUGUCGUAGUCCGGAUUGGAGUCUGCAACUCGACUCCAUGAAGUCGGAAUCGCUAGUAAUCGUGAAUCAGAAUGUCACGGUGAAUACGUUCCCGGGCCUUGUACACACCGCCCGUCACACCAUGGGAGUGGGUUGCUCCAGAAGUAGAUAGCUUAACCUUCGGGAGGGCGUUUACCACGGAGUGAUUCAUGACUGGGGUGAAGUCGUAACAAGGUAACCGUA